GUGCACGCUGGCGGUAGGCCUAACACCUGCCAGUCGAACGGCAGCACCGUAAGAGCUUGCUCUUACGGGUGGCGAGUGGCGGACGGGUGAGGAAUACAUCGGAAUCUACUUUUUCGUGGGGGGUAACGUAGGGAAACUUACGCUAAUACCGCAUACGACCUACGGGUGAAAGCAGGGGAUCUUCGGACCUUGCGCGAUUGAAUGAGCCGAUGUCGGAUUAGCUAGUUGGCGGGGUAAAGGCCCACCAAGGCGACGAUCCGUAGCUGGUCUGAGAGGAUGAUCAGCCACACUGGAACUGAGACACGGUCCAGACUCCUACGGGAGGCAGCAGUGGGGAAUAUUGGACAAUGGGCGCAAGCCUGAUCCAGCCAUACCGCGUGGGUGAAGAAGGCCUUCGGGUUGUAAAGCCCUUUUGUUGGGAAAGAAAAGCAGCAGGUUAAUACCCCGCUGUUCUGACGGUACCCAAAGAAUAAGCACCGGCUAACUUCGUG
Molecule: ribosomal RNA, 491 nt
Filed under: uncultured bacterium
Lineage: Bacteria
Description: partial 16S ribosomal RNA
Rfam family: Bacterial small subunit ribosomal RNA
Source: RNAcentral